GAUGAACGCUGGCGGCGUGCCUAAUACAUGCAAGUCGAGCGAACAGACGAGGAGCUUGCUCCUCUGACGUUAGCGGCGGACGGGUGAGUAACACGUGGAUAACCUACCUAUAAGACUGGGAUAACUUCGGGAAACCUGAGCUAAUACCGGAUAAUAUAUUGAACCGCAUGGUUCAAUAGUGAAAGACGGUUUUGCUGUGACUUAUAGGUGGACCCGCGCGGCAUUAGCUAGUUGGUAAGGUAACGGCUAACCAAGGCAACGAUGCGUAGCCGACCUGAGAGGUGGACAGGCCCACCUGGAACUGAGCCACGGCCCAGACCCCUACGGGAGGCAGAAGUAGGAAAUCUUCCGCAAGGGGCGAAAGCCUGACGGAGCAACGCCGCGGGAGUGAUGAAGGUCUUCGGAUCGUAAAACCCUGUUAUUAGGGAAGAACAAAGGUGUAAGUAACCAUGCUCGUCUGAACGGAACCAAAGCAGAAAGCCCCGGCAAACUCCGG
This 496-nucleotide ribosomal RNA is filed under the name uncultured bacterium. Its description in RNAcentral is "partial 16S ribosomal RNA". It matches the Rfam family "Bacterial small subunit ribosomal RNA", at positions 28 to 506 of the family's 1533-position model. The record is from RNAcentral.